GGAGAGGUGGCCGAGUGGUUUAAGGCGCACGCCUGGAAAGUGUGUAGGGGUGAAAGCCUCUCGAGGGUUCGAAUCCCUCUCUCUCCGCCA
RNAcentral lists this transfer RNA (90 nucleotides) under Alphaproteobacteria bacterium. RNAcentral describes it as "tRNA-Ser". It matches the Rfam family "tRNA". Rfam says of the family: Transfer RNA (tRNA) molecules are approximately 80 nucleotides in length. Their secondary structure includes four short double-helical elements and three loops (D, anti-codon, and T loops). The record is from RNAcentral. Lineage: Bacteria; Pseudomonadati; Pseudomonadota; Alphaproteobacteria. RNAcentral also lists the same sequence under 3 other names.